UUCACGGUAUUGCAAUGAGAACAAUUUAAAACCCUUAGCGAGAAUCAAGUGGAGGACAAGUCUGGUGCCAGCACCCGCGGUAAUUCCAGCUCCACUAGCGUAUAUUAAAGUUGUUGCAGUUAAAAAGCUCGUAGUUGAACCUCUGUCUGGGGCUAGUUUUGGCUUUGGUCAGGCUAGUUCUAGGCAUCCGCCUACAAGACUUAGAGGGCAUUCAGUUGUUCACUAGGAGGAGUAGGCAUUUUACUUUGAAAAAAUUAGAGUGUUUAAGGCAGGCAAUCGCCCGCAUAUAUUAGCAUGGAAUAAUAGAAUAGGACACUUUUCCAUUUCGUUGGUUAUUGGAAUCGUGUAAUGAUUAAUAGGGACAGUUGUGGGCAUUUGUAUUUAAUUGUCAGAGGUGAAAUUCUUGGAUUUAUUAAAGACAAACUAACGCGAAAGCAUUUGCCAAGGAUGUUUUCAUUAAUCAAGAACGAAAGUUAGGGGAUCAAAGACGAUCAGAUACCGUCCUAGUCUUAACUAUAAACUAUUCCGACUCAAUGUUUGACUGGCUUAUAUAACCAGUUGAGCGUUGUAUGAGAAAUCAAAGUCUUUAGGUUCUGGGGGGAGUAUGGUUGCAAAGCUGAAACUUAAAGGAAUUGACGGAAGAGCACAACCAGGAGUGGAUUCUGCGGCUUAAUUUGACUCAACACGGGGAAACUUACCAGGUUAAAACAAUAGUGGGAUUGACAGUUUGAGAGCGCUUUCUUGAUUGGUUGGGUGGUGGUGCAUGGCCGUUCUUAGUUGGUGGAGUGAUUUGUCUGCUUAAUUGCGUUAAUGAGCGAGACCUUAACCUGCUUACUAGACUGGCGAUCAUCAAUCGUUAGCUCUUCUUAGAGGGACUUUGGUUGUUUUAACUCCAAGGAAGUUUGAGGCAAUAACAGGUCUGUGAUGCCCUUAGAUAUCCUGGGCCGCACGCGUCAUACAAUGACUAGUUCAGAAAGUUUUCUCCUGACCCGAAAGGGGAUGGGUAAUCUUGAUAAUACUAGUCGUGUUAGGGAUCGAUCUUUGCAAUUAUAGAUCUUGAACGAGGAAUUCCUAGUAAGUGCGGUUCAUCAGACCGUACUGAUUACGUCCCUGCUCUUUGUACACACCGCCCGUCGCUUCUACCGAGUGGGUGGUCCGGUGAGAUAAUUGAACUUCGCAGGUAACUGAGAGGAAAGAUUAUCAAACCUAUCCACCU
Molecule: ribosomal RNA, 1216 nt
Filed under: metagenome
Description: SSU rRNA
Rfam family: Eukaryotic small subunit ribosomal RNA
Source: RNAcentral